AAGCCAUCAUUCUGAGCAGGGCUCUCUAGACCUCAGCAGGCGGCCGCAGGGCCUUGCAAAGAAGGUGCGGACCCCCAGCUCCAGGGUCUUCAGCCGAAGGCUUUCUCCGCCUGACAGGUCGCCCCUCUGACCUGGCUUUGCUUCUAAGCCUCCACCCAGGGGGGAACUAGCUCCCUGCUUGACGCCAGCAGCCCACAGGCCCACUACAGCAUCCAGACCCUACACCCUCUUGAAGCUCACCUCCAAAGAGGGUUCUGUCCUCUCUCUUCUUGGACCGCACCCGCCCACAGCCCUCGUCACACUGCAGGCAGCCCGGUCACCAGGCUCUGGGCCCUCGGGGCAGGGCCCCCGGCCUGGAGCGUCUUUUCCGAGAACGUGUGCAGAAUAAUCUGCCCCCUGUGGGCUGACUGCAUGCCAAGCCCCAACGCAGGGGACGCCCCCUAUACGGCACAGCCCUACGCCUUCCCCUUUCCCAGGGGGGACACUGAGGCACAGGGCUGUCAGGUGACCCCGCCAGGGUUCCAGGGCACUGAGAGCUCGGGGCGGAACCAGACAGACCUUGUGCGGAGCCCGGGGAAGCAACUCCUCCGAGCUCUAAGGGCCGGGGACGGUGGGGUGGAGGCGCUUCCUGGAGGUCUGUCCCCAGCAUCUCCCCAGGGCCGGCGAUGUCCACCUCCACCGCCGGUGGGCCGGGGGCCAGGCCUGUGAGUCCUGAGGGCACCCAGGCCCAGGAGGCCCGCGCUGGGGGUGGGGGCGCUGGGCCGCAGGGCAGGGAGAGGAGACGGGCUGGGGAGGAGGGGCCGGGACUAACGGUCUGGCCUUGCCCAUUCUUUGAAGGGGGGGACCCGGAGGAGUAGCUGAGGUCACUGGAACUGGGACACGAACCGGGCCGGGUCAGAGAUUCCCGGGAUGGUGCCCGCGGCCUGCACGCGGGUGGCUCCUCCCCUACAAGGCCCCUGACACGCCGCCGCUGCAUAACCAUCACCCGGUUCCCCAGACCAGGCAGGCCCAGCUUUUGGCCGCGGGUGGGUCCAGGCCCCGGAAGGCCGGCGCGGGGGUGGAGGGGGGCGGCGGUUGGGCCGGGGCGGAGCUGGCGAGGGGCCGGGCCACCCCCUUUCUGCGAGGGCGGGCGGCCGGCGCCUUAAAACGCGGCAGGGCCGGCC
RNAcentral lists this long non-coding RNA (1163 nucleotides) under Capra hircus (goat). RNAcentral describes it as "lncRNA (ENSCHIG00010017440.1)". Lineage: Eukaryota; Metazoa; Chordata; Mammalia; Artiodactyla; Bovidae. The record is from RNAcentral.